UCAACGACCCUGCUACUGCUUCGCGUCCCAAUCCUAAUUUCCAAACCUGACUCUCUGCUUCGGAUGACCGUUGUCGGUCCCCGAGGUCGGGGUGUCUCCACCCUAUAAAUACCCGUCGUCUCCUCUCCUCUCCUCUCGUUCUUUGUAUCCUUCUGGUUCUGCUCGCGUUUUUCUUCUUUUCUCUCUCGCCCACAGCGUCUCUGCGAGAAAAAGAAGGAAGUAGCGGUCGCGAUUUAAGCGUUCUUCAUGGGGUCCCCUUCUUCUUCUUCUUCUUCUUCUUUUUUCCUUCUUGUUUCCGUUUCUUGAUCUUGGGCCGAUUGCUUUUUCUCGAUCUUGAUUUUUGAAGACGUCUUGUUGCAGAAACCCCCCGCCCUUGCUUACGAGCUUGGCCUCUUUGGGAGAGGACGAUGUAUCGGAAUUAUUUGGUCUUCGAUAGAUCUACCGUUAUUGGUUUCACCAGCAUAUUCUGGAUUUUUGUUCUUCGGCGAAUCCGCAGUGCCUUCUUUCCUCUCGGAUCAUAUAUCUUGACGGUUGAGGAUGGUCGUUAUGGGAGUUGUUUCGUUUAGCUCCUCCUCCGAUCCUCUUUAUUGAUCCAUCGACCGAUGGAUGUUUCCGUUUACUUGUUUACGAGCUGCUUCUGGGUUUUUGUUAUUUGGUGAAUUCGCAGUGGCCUUCUUUUUCCCCCUGGAGCGAAUGGACGGUGACACUGUGGCUUCUUUCUUCUUGGAGCGAUCAUUUUGUCUGAGGCUGUUGUUUGAGGAAAAUGAAUACAAUGCAACUGGUCAGUUGGUUACAUAGAAUAGGACGUUUGGGCUUUUUGGAGGACUAAUGAUCUAUCUUGCACUCUUUGGUUGAGCUGAUGAUCUAGAAGUCUUUGUCUUCAGGACAAGCAAUGGACCGAAAUUUUGACAACCUUCUAGGCUUCUUUUACAGGUUGGAAUUCUUAUUGGAUUUGACAGCUGGUGAUCUGUUGUGUUUUCUGUGGGGCUGAGUUUAUAAUCGUUUGAAAUUGGAUGAGCUCCUGCUUCUUGGAAUUUAUGCAGUUAUUGGUUUGAAUGAAACUUGUUCUUUAGUUCUUGGAAAUCAUGCAACUAGUUUAUGCAGGAUAUAUUCGUCAUGGUGCUUAUAGUAGACUCUUGGCAAAUCUAACUUUAGUUGGCACUUAUGACUUUCGAUUUUAUUUCUUUUGUUAACUGAUUUUGGAUGGUCUUCUGAAUAUUGUAAGAUGAUAGCCAAUACCAGUUAUUCUUUGGCAGAUUAGAGCCUUUCUCCACGUGAUUGGAUGGAAAACUUUUGAUUUGUAUGUCUUACCUUUUUCUUUGAUGGAACUACCCUGCAUGUUAUUUAUCACUGACUUGUUCUUUUCAACAUAAUUUGUUGCACAUUCACUGGGCAAUACAUUUCUUGCAUAUGCAUUUGUUUUGACUUGGUGUGUAUGUCUGCUUGAAUUUCGUGUCAAUAUGUUAAAGUUGGUUUAUUUGAAGAAUUUUUUGUCAGAUUUCUUUUGUGCUUAUAUUAGAUGAGAUUGAUGUUGUUUAGAUGGUAAUUUCUUAGGGUGAGAUGUUAUUUUGGUGUGACCUAUUUGUCCCUUUUUUCUCUAUGUUAUUAGGAACUUGUAGGAUAGGUUCUUUUCCAAAGUAAUUAUUUGUUUUUCACACUGUUUUUUGCAGUAACAUUACCUUUUGGAAAAACUUCACCAAAUGUAUAGUAUGUAGUGUUUUCACUUAUAAAGCGAUGUUGUUGGAUGGUACAUCAAUAGAUUGAUCUUUGCAUUAAAUUGUUAACAAGAUGAUUCUGGAUUUCGGUGGAUUGGCAGUUGCAUCUUUCUUCUUGGAGCAAUCUCUUCAUCUGAGCGUGUCGUCUAAGGAUGCUAAAUACAUAGAAGCUUGUCAGUUAACAUAGAAUAAGGUGGCUUGGGUUUCUUGGUGGAGUGGUGAUCUAUUAUGCCGUCUUUGUUUGCUUGAGUUCUGAAGUAGUCUUUGAUCACAUCUUCAGGACGGGCGAUAGACUGAAAUUUUGAAGAUUUCAAGGCAUUUUUAGUUUUGAUUUAAGUUGGUCUUCAGUUGAUUAUCUUUGGGGAGUAGUGUGAUAAUUAUUGUUGAGUUCUAGUUCCUCUUCAGGUUGAAGUUUUCCCGGGUUUGAGAAGUGGAGAUAUAUUGCGUUCUUCUGUGGGGCUGAGUUGAUGAUUGUUUGAAAUUGGACAAGCAGCGGCUUCGUGGAUUCUAGGCUGUUGAAACUCUUUAGGGCUACGAAUUAUAAAUCUACAAUUGCGGCAUGAUCCUUUGCCAAUGAUGAUCUGUCAUCCAGAUACUCUAAUUCAUGGUUCUAGUGUAUCUCUUUCUCAUCUGCUCCACAAGGGUUGUUCGGAGUCAUCCUCCUUCUAAUUGGAGAUAUUAAAUGAUGAUCGGUUUCAUUUGCUUUGGUAUUUACUUUGAAGGAAUUAAUUUUGAAGAAUCUGGCUAGGUCGAUUUCCAAAAGAAUGUUGGUGAAGGCUCUGAUUUUAUGUGGAAAAUAUCAACGUUAUUGAGGUUUAAGUCUCCCACUGAUCAUAUUAACUAGUGGCUUCCAUGCUAUACGGAUUUAUUCAGUUGUCAGGUGCUUGUUCCAGUUUAGAGCGAUCUCCCUAAGGACCGUGUGUGGUUGCUAAUUGAUCAAAGCUGUUAGAGAAUCCAAGUUCUUGAGUUGGGAAAGACAGGAGGUUAUUAUCUAACGGAAUUAUGUGUAGUUGAGCUACUGAAUUGUUAUUUUUCUUUGUGAAUCGGGGUGAUGAGCGAUGUCUGGAUCUUUCUUCAAGGAUUGUCUGUAGCUGCAUGAACUCUGCAAAUAUCUGGUUUAUGAUAUUUUCAUUUUCAAGGAUUAGAGGAGAUGCGAUAAAGAUCUAUUCCAUUGCUUUUUAUAUAUUUAUCUCGUCUGUGAUCUCUUCCUGUUGUAGGUUGGAGUCUUUUUGUUGCCAAUUAUGCUGAAUUCAACAUGGUUUGUGUUGUAGUGUAUUGACCCAUUUUAACUAACUUUUAGGGGAAUGAUUUGAUUUAGCAAGCUUUUACUUUUUGCUUCUCAUGGGGUAUUUAUGGUAUGAAUGGCUUAUUUUUGGUGCCAGUUCAGGUCUCUCUCUUCGAUGAUGUCAUGCUCUCAUCUUCAUCUGCGAACUUCACCGGAUGAAACUACAAUUACUACAGUUGAAUCUGGUGUCUGAGGCUAAGUCUAGUUGUUGCUUAGCUUGGUCAUUUGGGGCUUUUACUUAUUGCUUCUUCUGGGGAUAUUUUUGGUAUAAUGGUUAAUUUUGGGCGCCAGUUCAAGUCUCUCUCUUUGAUGAUGUUUUGAUCUCGUCGUUUUUCUGUGAACUUCACCGGAUAAAACUACAAGUGAGUCCUGUUUCAAGGCUAAGUCCAGUUGUUGCUUUGCUUGGUCAUUUGGUGGCACACAUCUGUUGCAGUUUGACUUAUCGGAUGCUUCUACCUUAUACUGUGAGAUAGGAAACUGAUUACAGAUAUUCAGUAACAUCAUGGCAGAUUAUCUGUUUCUACUUUCAUUUGGUCUGGUGCAGUAUGUAGAAGCUCUCUCUUCAGGAUUCUCUAAAUUGAAUCUCCAGUUAUAUAUACCUGACUAAUUAGUUUUAUAUUAUUUGUGUUUUGAAAUCGAGAGUUACUUGGCCACGAGCUCGCUCGCUCGAUCCCUCUACAUAAAUUCACCCCUCACUCUCUCCGAAACUCGUAAUCUAUUAUCAUCGUUUUCUGAGGAAGUUGGCUCUAGUUUGUACCUUCAAAAGUAUAUCUGCAAGGAUGCUUGGGAAUAUAUGCUCGUGGGGACGCAUGGAAUGGAUGGUUCGGAUGUUUUUGCCAUCUUUUAUGAGCUCGCUCUUUGAAUUGGAUGGUGCGCUGGACAUGUUGCUUUAAGGAGGGUUCGUGUGUUGUAUGAGCUAUACCUGAUGUUGAACUUGACCCAAAAAAAAAAAAAAAACUAGCUGUUUUGAAGACCUUGCAAGGAAAUUGUGCCUUCUGCAGGAUGUAUGGAGCUUGGACAAUUUUGCUUGUAUUUUUGGUAUCUUCAACAUAUUUCUGUCUAUUGUCAGUUGCUCACUUUGUUGAGCAAAUUGUGCAACUUUGUAUUUGCACGAGUGAGACAGUUGUGGCUGGCAAACAAUCGAGCAUAAUUGUGCAAAUAGCACUUGUUAUCAUUUUGGUCAGGGUGUGAUGUGCUAACUCUUGGAAGUGGUGUCCUUUCAUGAUCUGUAUUUUGUGGAGACUUCAAGUUCUUGAGAUUUGCCAAAUGAGGCGGGGAUUUUCUUGUAACUAGUCUUGGAUUUUCAUUUGUGGCAUCUAAUCGUGGGUGUUCUCAGUCAAGUUUCCUAAUUGGAAUUUUGAGUGUUUUGCUAA
Molecule: long non-coding RNA, 4373 nt
Organism: Syzygium oleosum
Lineage: Eukaryota; Viridiplantae; Streptophyta; Magnoliopsida; Myrtales; Myrtaceae
Exons: 2
Source: RefSeq, a predicted model, not a curated record